RNAcentral lists this ribosomal RNA (440 nucleotides) under uncultured bacterium. Its description in RNAcentral is "partial 16S ribosomal RNA". It matches the Rfam family "Bacterial small subunit ribosomal RNA", at positions 338 to 795 of the family's 1533-position model. The record is from RNAcentral.
GCUACGGGGGGCAGCAGUGGGGAAUAUUGCACAAUGGGGGAAACCCUGAUGCAGCGACGCCGCGUGAGUGAAGAAGGAUCUCGGUACGUAAAGCUCUAUCAGCAGGGAAGAAAAUGACGGUACCUGACUAAGAAGCCCCGGCUAACCCCGUGCCAGCAGCCGCGGUAAUACGUAGGGGGCAAGCGUUAUCCGGAUGUACUGGGGGUAAAGGGAGCGGAGACGGCAGCCCAAGUCUGGAGUGAAAUCCCGGGGCUUAACCCCGGAACUGCUUUGGAAACUGUGCGGCUGGAGGGCAGGAGGGGUAAGCGGAAUUCCUAGUGUAGCGGUGAAAUGCGUAGAUAUUAGGAGGAACCCCGGUGGCGAAGGCGGCUUACUGGACUGUAACUGCCGUUGAGGCUCGAAAGCGUGGGGAGCAAACAGGAUUAGAUACCCUGUUAGUC